UACGUAGGGGACGAGAGUUGUUCGGAAUCACUGGGCGUAAAGCGCGCGUAGGCGGGUUUGUAAGUCGAUUGUGAAAGCCCUGGGCUUAACCCGGGAAUUGCAGUCGAAACUGUGAAUCUUGAAUGUUUGAGAGGAUGGUGGAAUUCCAGGUGUAGAAGUGAAAUUCGUAGAUAUCUGGAGGAACAUCGGAGGCGAAGGCGGCCAUCUGGCAAAACAUUGACGCUGAAGUGCGAAAGCGCGGGGAUCAAACAGG
RNAcentral lists this ribosomal RNA (253 nucleotides) under uncultured bacterium. Its description in RNAcentral is "partial 16S ribosomal RNA". It matches the Rfam family "Bacterial small subunit ribosomal RNA", at positions 524 to 776 of the family's 1533-position model. The record is from RNAcentral.